Molecule: ribosomal RNA, 492 nt
Filed under: uncultured bacterium
Lineage: Bacteria
Description: partial 16S ribosomal RNA
Rfam family: Bacterial small subunit ribosomal RNA
Source: RNAcentral
AGUGAACGCUGGCGGUAGGCCUAACACAUGCAAGUCGAGCGGCAGCACAGUAAGAGCUUGCUCUUACGGGUGGCGAGUGGCGGACGGGUGAGGAAUACAUCGGAAUCUACUUUUUCGUGGGGGAUAACGUAGGGAAACUUACGCUCAUACCGCAUACGACCUACGGGUGAAAGCAGGGGAUCUUCGGACCUUGCGCGAUUGAAUGAGCCGAUGUCGGAUUGGCUAGUUGGCGGGGUAAAGGCCCACCAAGGCGACGAUCCGUAGCUGGUCUGAGAGGAUGAUCGGCCACACUGGAGCUGGGACACGGUCCAGACUCCUACGGGAGGCAGCAGUGGGGAAUAUUGGACAAUGGGCGCAAGCCUGAUCCAGCCAUACCGCGUGUGUGAAGAAGGCCUUCGGGUUGUAAAGCCCUUUUGUUGGGAGAGAAAAGCAGCAGGUUAAUACCCCGCUGUUCUGACGGUACCCAAAGAAUAAGCACCGGCUAACUUCGUG